Molecule: RNA transcript, 1540 nt
Organism: Sipha flava (yellow sugarcane aphid)
Lineage: Eukaryota; Metazoa; Arthropoda; Insecta; Hemiptera; Aphididae
Gene name: TAR DNA-binding protein 43-like
Exons: 7
Source: RefSeq, a predicted model, not a curated record
GUGUAUCAUAUAAUGCCUAAGCUCUAAACUAUACAAACAUAUUUACAAAUGAUUUAUGCUCACCGUUGCUGAUAUUACUAAUGUUGUAAUUAUUAUAAUACGAUUCAUAUUUUUUACCUCUGCUUAUGUUCCUCAGUCGAUAUUAAUAAUUGUUACUAUUUUUGGUUGUAUUCAAAUUUGCCGUUCGAUAGUGUUUCGUCGCACCAUAACUACUCUCGAACGUUACCGACUUAAUUUCAACAUUUUUUUUCCUCGGAGAAUAACUUAUUGUACGUAGUGCAUAAACAAACACUUAUUUAUAUACACUUACUUCACACACGAUGGAAAACGUUGAAAAGUAUAUUCCUGUGUGCGAGUGUGAAGGCGAAGAUUUUAUGGAGAUACCACUGGAAAGCGAUGGUACCCUAUCAACGGCCACUCUGAGCGCGUAUUUUCCUGGAGUUACUGGUCUCAAAUUCCGCCUUGAUUCUUAUUCACCAUACAGAGCACUCAGAUUAUACGACGGUAAAUUUCAUGCGCCCGAAGGCAGCUGGGCUGGUCACAAAUUCUACUGUGUACAUCCCAAAGGCGACAAAAGGAAACUUGAUGAAAUAGACACCAAACCAUCCAAAGGUUAUAACAUUAUGAUGUGUACAGAUUUGAUUGUUUUGGGCUUACCUUACCAAUUGACAGAAACUCAAAUGAGAGAAUAUUUUGUACAGUUCGGAAAACUAGUCAUGGUUCAGAUUAAGCGAGAUGCAUCUGGGAAUUCAAAAGGAUUUGGUUUUAUUCGCUAUGAAGAUUAUAGUUCUCAAGCAAAAGCUCUUGGACAACGACAUUAUGUUAAUAAUCGAUGGGUUGAAGUCAAAAUACCUGCUUCAAAAGAAGGAUAUUAUUCUAAAGUACCUCACAAGAUAUUUGUUGGUCGUCUCACUGAAGAAAUUAGUGAACCAGAUUUAAGUACUUAUUUCUCUCAGUAUGGUGAAAUCACUGAUGUGUUCAUACCAAAACCAUUUAGAGCAUUUGGUUUUAUAACUUUUAAUGAUGCUUCAGUAGCACAAAGUCUUUGUGAUGAAGAUCAUAUCGUUAAAGGCGUAUCACUUCAUAUAUCUGAAGCUAAUCCUAAAUCUGACCAAAGCAGGGAUAAACAAGUUAAUAGUCAACAACAGUAUAUGAGUAAUGUUCUGACAAAUGGAAUGCUGGCUGCUGCACUUAACCAAGUUGCAUAUCAAACACAACCAAUCUCUUACCAAACCCAUCGUGCAUAUGGGAAAGUACAAGACUGGAAACGUCGGGCAGUUUACGACAUGUGAGCGAGAGCGUGUGGUAUUUAUAUGAUGAUUGAUGGAUGUAUCAGCCUAGACAUCAGUAUUAAAAGAUCAUACAAAUUCUGAAACCUUGAGUGCAAUUUCUUUAUUAACUUAGGUUAUGUUAUAGUUACUAUAAAAUCCUAUUUUGUAAAAUCAAAGUAAACAACUAUUAUAUUGGUUUUACAAUUGUACCUCUGUUUUCUGUAUUCUGUAAUAUAAUAUUGACUUUAAAUAAAUAUAUAUAAAAUGAA